AACGUAGGACGCAAGCGUUAUCCGGAUUUACUGGGCGUAAAGCGCGUUCAGGCGGCUUGACAAGUCGGGCAUGAAAUCUCUCGGCUCAACCGGGAGGGGCUGUCCGAUACUGUCGGGCUUGAGGGCAGUAGAGGGUGGUGGAAUUCCGGGUGUAGUGGUGAAAUGCGUAGAUAUCCGGAGGAACACCAGUGGCGAAAGCGGCCACCUGGACUGUACCUGACGCUCAAACGCGAAAGCUAGGGGAGCGAACGGG
Molecule: ribosomal RNA, 253 nt
Filed under: uncultured bacterium
Lineage: Bacteria
Description: partial 16S ribosomal RNA
Rfam family: Bacterial small subunit ribosomal RNA
Source: RNAcentral